AAGUCGUAACAAGGUUUCCGUAGGUGAACCUGCGGAAGGAUCAUUACUGAGUUAGGGGUCUUCGUGGCCGACCUCCAACCCUUGUGUUAAACUACCACGUUGCUUCGGCGGGCCCGUCCUCUGAGGACCGCCGGGAGGUUUCCACCUCUCUGGCCCGUUGCCCGCGGUGGCCAAACCACAAAACUCUUUGAUAAACACUGUCGUCUGAGUUCAUUUUUUAAUAAAAAUAAA
Molecule: unclassified non-coding RNA, 231 nt
Filed under: plant metagenome
Description: partial contains small subunit ribosomal RNA and internal transcribed spacer 1
Rfam family: Eukaryotic small subunit ribosomal RNA (bases 1-46)
Source: RNAcentral